GACUCAGGCAGUCAUUUAGACAGCCCAGAAUUGGGGUCGAGGACCUCUGUGUAAAUGCAAUUCAGGUCUCCUUUGAAUCCAGCAUACAGAACAGGGGAGGAAGCGCUUUCGAAAUGGCAAAGUUAUCAAAAUGAAAUAGAUCCUGGGAUCGAUGCUUUGCAUUGAAGAGCUGAGAGCUUUUUUUCCAUUACUUUUUACUUGCAAAAGCAAUUCACUUUUGUCUGAGACUUGACGAUGGGAAGAUCAGCUAAAAUAGCACCUUCUGAAGAUGGAAGACCGUUUCUCUUUUCUUAUUUCUAUCAACACUCAGACAGCACAGACGGGAGGGGUCCAAAGGAUUUCUGUGCAUUAUGGGAAAACUUCUUGAGAGUAAUUAAGAAUGAGAUGGUGCAAAAAGAUGGAUUCACUGUACCAGCCAGGUGGAUUUACAGUUCCAGUCUCAAAGAUGUUGAGAGAUGGACUUGAUGAGGUUGUGCAGUAAAGUCACAAAUCACCUAGCAACUGUUGCUGUCUCCAGCAUGAGGUCCAUCGCAGAAGCUGCUCUGUGCUGCUUAUGGCUAAA
Molecule: long non-coding RNA, 562 nt
Organism: Acanthopagrus latus (yellowfin seabream)
Lineage: Eukaryota; Metazoa; Chordata; Actinopteri; Spariformes; Sparidae
Exons: 3
Source: RefSeq, a predicted model, not a curated record